AGAGGUCAGAGUCUGCCUCUGGGACCUGAGGGACCUAAACCAAGAAUAUCGUCAUUCACUCACUCAACAGCAAGAAGUUAAACAGGGGUCUAAGUGACCAUACUUAUUUGAGAGUCAGAAGGAAGAAAAGAUGGAGGGGGACUCUUAGAACCUCAGGCCAUUUCAGAAGGAGCCACAGGGGAGGUACACGCCUCCUCUGUGCUUUGCAGGCAAGAGUUUCUGACAUGUCAGGAAACGCUGGAGAAGCCACUCUUUGGGCUGCGCUUUCAUCCAGGAGGCAGUGUGGGAUGGAUUAAUGGCAACUCACAAUAAAUUAUUUAUCAGAUAA
Molecule: long non-coding RNA, 328 nt
Organism: Mastomys coucha (southern multimammate mouse)
Lineage: Eukaryota; Metazoa; Chordata; Mammalia; Rodentia; Muridae
Exons: 2
Source: RefSeq, a predicted model, not a curated record